Molecule: ribosomal RNA, 253 nt
Filed under: uncultured bacterium
Lineage: Bacteria
Description: partial 16S ribosomal RNA
Rfam family: Bacterial small subunit ribosomal RNA
Source: RNAcentral
UACGUAGGUGACUAGCGUUGUCCGGAUUUACUGGGCGUAAAGAGCGCGCAGGCGGUCGUUCAAGUCGAGUGUGAAAGCCCCCGGCUCAACUGGGGAGGGUCACUUGAUACUGAUCGACUCGAAGGCAGGAGAGGGAAGCGGAAUUCCCGGUGUAGUGGUGAAAUGCGUAGAUAUCGGGAGGAACACCAGUGGCGAAGGCGGCUUCCUGGCCUGUUCUUGACGCUGAGGCACGAAAGCUAGGGGAGCAAACGGG